ACCCCACCCGCCACCCACACUCCGCUCCGGCUGCCGGGCCUCCAGCGAGUUCUGCGCAUCCGGAAGGGAGCCAAGGGAUCCCUGGUUCAAAGGGCCGCAGCCCGAGGGGAUGCCCUCCUCGUGUGCCCCGGGGUGCAGAAGCAGACUGAAGGGCGGUGGGACCAGCCUGGGCCACGAACUGCAGAGUCAGCAUGACCUGGACCCCAGCACCUCUCAGCUUCAUAAUACGCAGCCACCACACCUUCAACACAAGAGUGUUUGAAGGCACAAAUCCCAACCAUUGCAGAGUACAACUGUGAACUUUGAUAUAUGAAGACGUUUGCUAAGCAGGUGAUAUCACAAGGACUCCCUAAACUCACCGAGUGUUGAAGAUUCAUGCACAAUGUCUGGGAGACUCUGACACCCACCCACAUCCUUACUUAGAGUAUUCUAGAGUGACUUCUGAAGGGACUGGCCAGGCGGGAAAUGGACGCUGUGCUCUUCUGAGCUGGUUUCUUCCUGAUCCUCUGCGAGAAGCUGUCUUCCUACCAUCAGCCUUUUGCAAACUUCUACUAGACUUUUUUUUUUCCUCCGUUCCCCUCUUCUUACGAAGUUAGCAGAGGAGGGGAAAAAAAUGAUACCGAGGAAGAGACAUAUUUUCUGUCAGUUUUUAAUUUUUAUUUUUUCUGGGUUUGCUUAGUACGGUGGCUUCAGUCACGCACAGGGUCUUUCGAGGAACUGAUUUCUCAGAGAGGGGAGCUCUGUACGUGCUUUUAAUCACCUAUCUCCAAUGAAAGAAAUCACAAGUGUUGCUGUCCAGACCUGAAGAACUUGCUCUGCCCUAAAGCGGUGGAAUGAGAGACCCGCCACCAGAACAUUAGGCACCCCAUCUGGAUGUGGACCUAGUAGGAUUCGGGUGGCCUUGAGGAUGCCAGCUCAGCUGGAGAGUGCUGCAGAAGGAUCAAGGGACUUCUGAGGAACCCUGUAAUACAAAAAGUGAAAUACGUUUAUCCCAAUUCUAUUCUCAGAAUCCCUGCCAAGAAAGGCAAAGUUGGUAGAUGUCAAAGUUAUCAGUGUCCACCUCCCCCCAGCUCAUUUGCACGAAGGGUGUAGCUUCCCCAAGUCCCAGAUCAGAAAAAAAUUUAGAGCGAUUCUCAGGGCACUGUGCAAACCGUUGAAAAGAAACUGCAGCUACCCUUCCCCUUCCUUUUCAAAAAUCUAUGCAAGUAAAAAGUGAGCAAUCUUAUCUAAUUCCACAAUCGAGGCAGAGAGAGUAGAUGCAUCGGAAAUUCAUAGCUUAUGAGCGCAAAAUUUCCCGAUUCUUGUAAAAACAGGAAUCUUGGUAAAAAACAAAAAACAAAACAAAAAAACAAAACAAAAACAAAAGGUAGCUGAAGUUUUUGGUUCUUGUUUAGUUGGAGAAAUUUGGGUCCUUGUUUCGUCAGAAAAAGGAUCCAAAGUGUUUAAAAGCUUGUGGUUUCAAAGAAACCAGAUCUUGGACACAUUUUGCGUAGUUUCAUCCCCCUGUGUAACAAAACAGUGCCUUCUAAUUUUGUUUUCUCAACCCCACCCAACUUUUAUGUUUUUUUCUUUUCAUAACUUAGCUUUUUUCCCCCUUCUGUCGAAGUGUUUCUGAUCUUGAUUAAAUUUUAAUUACCCAUUCUCUGCCUGAAACUCGAUUGCAUUCCCCUAACCACUUCCAUCAGAAUACAAACAGAUCCAUACUUCCAGUGUCUGACCACGGCAAAGAAAGUUCACGUGGUUAGAACUGAGUCUAAAGCAAAUGCCCUGUGUACUGAAUAACAGCUGCAAAAAAAUAGAUAUUAAAAUUAAAUAGCCACAAAACUAAGAGGAUGGGGAAAACACACCACAAAACAGGAUUUUUUAAACUAACAAAGAAGUUGUAAGAUGAAUGUAAUGGGUGCUGUUUCUUCUUCUGGCGUGACAUAUGACUAGCAAUAGCUGGACCAUGAAGAGAAAACUCUAUUUCUCUUCUCCUAUGUUAUUUUGCCAGAAAUCUUUCAGAACUAAACGAAUACAAAGUUCUUCAAAAGGCUAUCUGCUAACUACUGCCAGGUAAAGAGUUCUAAAAGGGUGUGGCUCUUCUCACUACAUAUGCAACACAUGAAAUAAUUCUAGAACCCUUGUCAAAGAAGUUUCCUUCAAUAUUUUGGUUUGGAAAUGGCUGGGAGAGGGACACUGUAAACGAAAUUAUUUCCUUGGUAUGGUCUGUGCAAAUGUGUGUCCUUAUAUAUCUGAGAGGAUAAUGGGGCUGGAGAGCAAAGCGAGCCAGGCUGGGGGUUAUACUCCCUGACCCUUGGAGCAUCUGGGAAAAGUAAAGGCGCAACUCAAUCUUCUUAUUUCUUUUCUUGUCUCCUUCUAUAUGAAAUCUUGUUUCAAUUUAUAUUCCAGAAUAAAACUCCGGUGUGCUUUAAA
Molecule: long non-coding RNA, 2415 nt
Organism: Mesocricetus auratus (golden hamster)
Lineage: Eukaryota; Metazoa; Chordata; Mammalia; Rodentia; Cricetidae
Exons: 4
Source: RefSeq, a predicted model, not a curated record